This 284-nucleotide ribosomal RNA is filed under the name uncultured bacterium. Its description in RNAcentral is "partial 16S ribosomal RNA". It matches the Rfam family "Bacterial small subunit ribosomal RNA", at positions 334 to 615 of the family's 1533-position model. The record is from RNAcentral.
CAUGCCUACGGGAGGCAGCAGUGAGGAAUAUUGGUCAAUGGGCUAAGGCCUGAACCUGCCAAGUCGCGUGAGGGAAGACGGUCCUAUGGAUUGUAAACCUCUUUUGUCGGGGAGCAACGAGGCCACGUGUGGCCGAAGUGAGAGUACCCGAAGAAAAAGCAUCGGCUAACUCCGUGCCAGCAGCCGCGGUAAUACGGAGGAUGCGAGCGUUAUCCGGAUUUAUUGGGUUUAAAGGGUGCGCAGGCGGGCUGUUAAGCCGGCGGUAAAAAUUCAGGGCUCAACCC